RNAcentral lists this ribosomal RNA (429 nucleotides) under Gemmatimonadota bacterium. RNAcentral's name for it is "Gemmatimonadetes bacterium partial 16S ribosomal RNA". It matches the Rfam family "Bacterial small subunit ribosomal RNA", at positions 355 to 776 of the family's 1533-position model. Lineage: Bacteria; Pseudomonadati; Gemmatimonadota. The record is from RNAcentral.
UAGGGAAUCUUCGGCAAUGGACGAAAGUCUGACCGAGCAACGCCGCGUGAGUGAAGAAGGUUUUCGGAUCGUAAAACUCUGUUGUUAGAGAAGAACAAGGACGUUAGUAACUGAACGUCCCCUGACGGUAUCUAACCAGAAAGCCACGGCUAACUACGUGCCAGCAGCCGCGGUAAUACGUAGGUGGCAAGCGUUGUCCGGAUUUAUUGGGCGUAAAGCGAGCGCAGGCGGUUUCUUAAGUCUGAUGUGAAAGCCCCCGGCUCAACCGGGGAGGGUCAUUGGAAACUGGGUGACUUGACUGAAGAAGAGGAGAGUGGAAUUCCAUGUGUAGCGGUGAAAUGCGUAGAUAUAUGGAGGAACACCAGUGGCGAAGGCGGCUCUCUGGUCUGUAACUGACGCUGAGGCUCGAAAGCGUGGGGAGCAAACAGG